GGGUGUAAUCAUACCGACAGUAAUGCAUAGGAUCCCAUCAGAACUUCGUAGUUAAGCGUGCUUGCGGGAUAGUAGUAUUAUGAUAGGUGACCUUCAGGGAAGUCCUCGUGUUGCACCUC
Non-coding RNA from Gossypium hirsutum (cotton), 119 nucleotides. The record is from Rfam. Lineage: Eukaryota; Viridiplantae; Streptophyta; Magnoliopsida; Malvales; Malvaceae.